Molecule: non-coding RNA, 212 nt
Organism: Pelobates cultripes (western spadefoot toad)
Lineage: Eukaryota; Metazoa; Chordata; Amphibia; Anura; Pelobatidae
Source: the annotation of a GenBank genome assembly
CACACACUCAUACAAACACACACUCUGCAUUAUAUAUACACACACACACAUACAAACACACACUCUGCAUUAUAUAUACACACACACUCAUACAAACACACACUGCAUUAUAUAUACACACACACACUCAUACAAACACACACUGCAUUAUAUACACACACUCUGUGUAUAUAAUGCAGAGUGUGUAUAUAAUGAAGAGUUUGUGUAGUGUG